GCCUGGGUGGCUCAGUUGGUUAAGCGUCGGACUCUUGGUUUCAGCUCAGGUCGUGAUCUCACAGUGUGUGAGUUCGAGCCCCACCCUGGGCA
RNAcentral lists this transfer RNA (92 nucleotides) under Felis catus (domestic cat). It matches the Rfam family "tRNA". From Rfam's summary of the family: Transfer RNA (tRNA) molecules are approximately 80 nucleotides in length. Their secondary structure includes four short double-helical elements and three loops (D, anti-codon, and T loops). The record is from Rfam by way of RNAcentral. Lineage: Eukaryota; Metazoa; Chordata; Mammalia; Carnivora; Felidae.